This 206-nucleotide long non-coding RNA is filed under the name Elaeis guineensis (African oil palm). RNAcentral's name for it is "long non-coding RNA (EGUI_LNC065321)". The record is from RNAcentral. Lineage: Eukaryota; Viridiplantae; Streptophyta; Magnoliopsida; Arecales; Arecaceae.
AUCAUUCAAGGGGAUCGAAACCAGAUCUUCAAUUGGCCCGCCCCUUUCCUCAGCGAGGUUGUCGCGGGCAUCCAAUCCAUCAACCGGACAGAGGUCAGAUUGGUCACUUCUUUGCAAGGCUAUGUUGUAGCAGUGUCUAGCCAAGGCUUGAUCUCCCUUGACUUCUCCGACUCCCUGGUUAGUAGAAAAUUUCAAUUUCAGAUGGU